UCCGUAGCCACCGAAGUCGUUAAAUACAGGGACACAGGAACAUAGCCUAACCCCACCGUUGGUUGAGUGGGGCGUAAGGGAGCGAAAAAUAGUAGCGAAGUAGGUGAUUGUACACUGGCGAGAAAAGCUGUAUGUAUUGAUAAGGUGCCCGUACCGCAAACCGACACAGGUAGAUGAGGAGAGAAUCCUAAGACCAGCGGGAGAAGUGUUGUUAAGGAACUCGGCAAAAUGACCCCGUAACUUCGGGAUAAGGGGAGCCUACGCGAGUAGGCCGCAGAGAAUAGUCUCAAGCGACUGUUUAGCAAAAACACAGGUCUAUGCUAAAUCGAAAGAUGAUGUAUAUGGGCUGACGCCUGCCCGGUGCUGGAAGGUUAAGGGGAAGUGUUAGAGCAAUCGAAGCACUGAACUUAAGCCCCAGUAAACGGCGGCCGUAACAAUAACGGUCCUAAGGUAGCGAAAUUCCUUGUCAGGUAAGUUCUGACCCGCACGUAUGGCGUAACGACUUGAGAGCUGUCUCAACAACAUACCCGGCGAAAUUGAAGUACUGGUAAAGAUGCCAGUUACCCGUGAUAAGACGGAAAGACCCCAUGGAGCUUUACUGUAACUUGAUAUUGAAUUUUUGUAUUACAUGUACAGGAUAGGUGGGAGACAGAGAACUAAUGCCGCCAGGUGUUAGGGAGUCGAUGUUGGGAUACCACUCUUGUAAUAUGAAGGUUCUAACCUGCACCCGUGAAUCCGGGUGGGGGACACUGUCAGGUGGACAGUUUGACUGGGGCGGUCGCCUCCUAAAAGGUAACGGAGGCGUUCAAAGGUUGGUUCAGCACGGACGGAAAUCGUGCAACGAGUGCAAACGCAUAAACCAGCCUAACUGCGAGACCGACAAGUCGAGCAGUAACGAAAGUUGGAGUUAGUGAUCCGGCGGUAUGAGAGUGGAAUUGCCGUCGCUCAACGGAUAAAAGCUACCCUGGGGAUAACAGGCUGAUCUCCCCCAAGAGUCCACAUCGACGGGGAGGUUUGGCACCUCGAUGUCGGCUCAUCGCAUCCUGGAGCUGUAGUCGGUUCCAAGGGUUGGGCUGUUCGCCCAUUAAGGCGGUACGCGAGCUGGGUUCAGAACGUCGCGAGACAGUUCGGUCCCUAUCUAUCACGGGCGUAGGAAAUUUGAGGAGAGCUGACCUUAGUACGAGAGGACCGGGUUGGACGUACCGCUGGUGCACCUGUUGUUCUGCCAAGGGCAUAGCAGGGUAGCUAAGUACGGACGGGAUAAACGCUGAAGGCAUCUAAGCGUGAAGCCCCCUUCGAGAUAAGAUUUCCCAUAGCGUAGGCUAGUAAGGACCCAUGAAGACUACAUGGUUGAUAGGCCGGAGGUGGAAGUGCAGUAACGUAUGUAGCUGACCGGUACUAAUAGUCCGAGGGCUUGACC
This 1420-nucleotide ribosomal RNA is filed under the name metagenome. RNAcentral describes it as "bacterial LSU rRNA". It matches the Rfam family "Bacterial large subunit ribosomal RNA", at positions 1437 to 2925 of the family's 2925-position model. The record is from RNAcentral.